Molecule: transfer RNA, 70 nt
Filed under: Calyptomena viridis (green broadbill)
Lineage: Eukaryota; Metazoa; Chordata; Aves; Passeriformes; Eurylaimidae
Description: tRNA-Gly
Source: RNAcentral
GCCCCCCUAGUAUAUCAAAUAUAGAUGACUUCCAAUCAUCAGAUUCUGGCUAACAACCCAGAGAGAGGCA